AUAUGCUAUUGAAAAUAUUUCAGC
Molecule: non-coding RNA, 24 nt
Filed under: Arabidopsis thaliana (thale cress)
Lineage: Eukaryota; Viridiplantae; Streptophyta; Magnoliopsida; Brassicales; Brassicaceae
Source: RNAcentral